GACGAACGCUGGCGGCGUGCUUAACACAUGCAAGUCGAACGGAAAGGCCCUGCUUUUGUGGGGUGCUCGAGUGGCGAACGGGUGAGUAACACGUGAGUAACCUGCCCUUGACUUUGGGAUAACUUCAGGAAACUGGGGCUAAUACCGGAUAGGAGCUCCUGCUGCAUGGUGGGGGUUGGAAAGUUUCGGCGGUUGGGGCUGGACUCGCGGCUUAUCAGCUUGUUGGUGGGGUAGUGGCUUACCAAGGCUUUGACGGGUAGCCGGCCUGAGAGGGUGGACGGCCACAUUGGGACUGAGAUACGGCGCAGACUCCUACGGGAGGCAGCAGUGGGGAAUAUUGCACAAUGGGCGGAAGCCUGAUGCAGCAACGCCGCGUGCGGGAUGACGGCCUUCGGGUUGUAAACCGCUGUCGCCUGUGACGAAGCGUGAGUGACGGUAAUGGGUAAAGAAGCACCGGCUAACUACGUG
Molecule: ribosomal RNA, 468 nt
Filed under: uncultured bacterium
Lineage: Bacteria
Description: partial 16S ribosomal RNA
Rfam family: Bacterial small subunit ribosomal RNA
Source: RNAcentral